GUUUAUGAAAGAUGAAUGAGAUUAUGUAUUGAAGCUAAAUAUUAUAACGUAUUCCUUUUUCAUAAACAUUUUUUAGUGUAUAGCAACCUUGAAAAUCAACAACUUGACAAUCACACGUAUGAUGCUCUUCAGCCAACAAGUAAAUAGGUUUAAUUUUGAAAAACAGACAAAAGAGAAACCAUCGAUAGAUCAUGUAUGGUGCCAUGACGGUCUAACAGACUACAAUACAGAUGAAGGUCAAAUUGUGUCCGUCAAAAAUAUUUCGACCUUAAUAUUUUGCAACAAUCAGGCUAUAGUGAUGAAGAGAUAGAGGGAUGAUCGUUAAUUAGCUGUUUUACAAUGCAUAUAUAUCUUUUAAUAAAGUUAUUUUAGUGUU
Biomphalaria glabrata is the source of this 376-nucleotide long non-coding RNA. RefSeq lists it as uncharacterized. Lineage: Eukaryota; Metazoa; Mollusca; Gastropoda; Planorbidae. The record is from RefSeq and is a predicted model, not a curated record. The transcript has 2 exons.